This 376-nucleotide ribosomal RNA is filed under the name uncultured organism. Its description in RNAcentral is "bacterial SSU rRNA". It matches the Rfam family "Bacterial small subunit ribosomal RNA", at positions 440 to 808 of the family's 1533-position model. The record is from RNAcentral.
UAGGGACGAAGGGUAAGAAUCAUAAUAAGGUUUUUAUUUGACGGUACCUAACGAGGAAGCCACGGCUAACUACGUGCCAGCAGCCGCGGUAAUACGUAGGCGGCAAGCGUUGUCCGGAAUUAUUGGGCGUAAAGGGAGCGCAGGCGGGAAACUAAGCGGAUCUUAAAAGUGCGGGGCUCAACCCCGUGAUGGGGUCCGAACUGGUUUUCUUGAGUGCAGGAGAGGAAAGCGGAAUUCCCAGUGUAGCGGUGAAAUGCGUAGAUAUUGGGAAGAACACCAGUGGCGAAGGCGGCUUUCUGGACUGUAACUGACGCUGAGGCUCGAAAGCUAGGGUAGCGAACGGGAUUAGACACCCCGGUAGUCCUAGCCGUAAACG